This 253-nucleotide ribosomal RNA is filed under the name uncultured bacterium. RNAcentral describes it as "partial 16S ribosomal RNA". It matches the Rfam family "Bacterial small subunit ribosomal RNA", at positions 524 to 776 of the family's 1533-position model. The record is from RNAcentral.
UACGGGGGGGGCAAGCGUUGUUCGGAAUUACUGGGCGUAAAGGGCUCGUAGGUGGCCAACUAAGUCAGACGUGAAGUCCCUCGGCUUAACCGGGGAACUGCGUCUGAUACUGGAUGGCUUGAGUUCGGGAGAGGGAUGCGGAAUUCCAGGUGUAGCGGUGAAAUGCGUAGAUAUCUGGAGGAACACCGGUGGCGAAGGCGGCAUCCUGGACCAACACUGACACUGAGGAGCGAAAGCCAGGGGAGCAAACAGG